Molecule: ribosomal RNA, 253 nt
Filed under: uncultured bacterium
Lineage: Bacteria
Description: partial 16S ribosomal RNA
Rfam family: Bacterial small subunit ribosomal RNA
Source: RNAcentral
UACGUAUGGAGCAAGCGUUAUCCGGAUUUACUGGGUGUAAAGGGAGCGCAGGCGGCUUUGCAAGUCUGAUGUGAAAGGCCGGGGCUCAACCCCGGGACUGCAUUGGAAACUGUAAAGCUAGAGUGCCGGAGAGGUAAGCGGAAUUCCUAGUGUAGCGGUGAAAUGCGUAGAUAUUAGGAGGAACACCAGUGGCGAAGGCGGCUUACUGGACGGCAACUGACGCUGAGGCUCGAAAGCGUGGGUAUCGAACAGG